GAUUAUGAGAGGUGUAGAUGUAUUUCUGCAUCACAUAUUAUGAUUUAACAGUACAGUAGUGCUCAGUGGAGAAGCAAGCGGAGGAUGGGGCAAGUGAUGAACAAGUAAAUUGGAAACUAGGGAUGUUAUGUUGUGGCACUGUGCACUUUGAGAUUUGUAGAGCAGCAGGCAGCAGUGCAUACCAAGUGGGCCCACCAAGUUCUGUCACAACUUCUCAUCUGUCUAUGAUCUGUGAAGAAACAGCCCAGACAGUAAGGGAAGCAUUGAGGGAGCCUAUUUCCUCCAGAGUAAGUUAGUUUUUGACAGGGGGAGUAUUGAAUGCUCUUAAAACUGAAAUGGACUUACCUUUAAAACAAGAAAGGUGACCUAACCACAGUGUCCUCUGUGACAGACACAGGUUCUGCACUAGCAUUCUUCUGAAGGACAUAUUGCUACAUUGGAAUGGCCUGCUCGUCCUUGCCUAGACAUCUCCAAUCUUCAAAUGAGGAAAUCUAAGGUUUAGAUCCAUCUGCCUCUGUGGGCGAGGGUCCUACACAAGUUAAGAGUUCAGUGGGAAAUAAUGGGAAACUGCAGUUCUCAUUUUGGUGAUUGUGUUUGUGUAUGUGUGUGUGUGUGGGUGAGAGAGAGAGAGAGAGAGAGAGAGAGAGAGAGAGAGAGAGAGAGAGACUCUUUGUCCAUGCACAGAUAAUGGUGGCCAAGCACAAUCCUUGAAAUCCUAAUGAUUUUGAAUCUGCAGUUACCACCACUGACACUGGAAAGUAGGGUCCCUACGUCAUGCUCAUCAGAAGGAAAAGGUUCACAAAAUAUGUGACUAUGCAAUAAUAAUAAAUAGCACAUCUUGCUAUUCGUCCUUGUGCAGCACACAGUACUCCUCUUAAGAGCCUUUCAAAGACACAGUAAACCUGCCCGGAACCAAAAUACUUGUACCCCGCCCAAACAGAAAUCUAACACAUGGAUCAUGCCCCAGUCAGUGCGCAUGUUUAUUGGUUCAUAUGCCCACAAUGCGCAUGCUCUAGGUUGCCCAAGUUGCGCAUGCCCCUUGUUAAAGAGGUGUCGGUUGCUGCGCAUGCGCAUGAGGAUCUGCAGGCACCGCUCUUACUGUUGACGGGAAGCAGUGUCUUCCAUUUUGUGCGUCUUCAUUGUUCUUCAGUACCUGAGAGACAGCCGUGA
This 1170-nucleotide long non-coding RNA is filed under the name Oryctolagus cuniculus (rabbit). RNAcentral describes it as "lncRNA (ENSOCUG00000038722.1)". Lineage: Eukaryota; Metazoa; Chordata; Mammalia; Lagomorpha; Leporidae. The record is from RNAcentral.